Molecule: ribosomal RNA, 332 nt
Filed under: uncultured bacterium
Lineage: Bacteria
Description: bacterial SSU rRNA
Rfam family: Bacterial small subunit ribosomal RNA
Source: RNAcentral
UGCGUAGGCGGAUAUUUAAGUCAGAUGUGAAAUUCCAGGGCUCAACUUUGGAACUGCAUUUGAAACUGGACAUCUAGAGUACAGGAGAGGAAAGCGGAAUUCCUAGUGUAGCGGUGAAAUGCGUAGAUAUUAGGAAGAACCCCAGUGGCGAAGGCGGCUUUCUGGACUGUAACUGACGCUGAGGCACGAAAGCGUGGGGAGCAAACAGGAUUAGAUACCCUGGUAGUCCACGCUGUAAACGAUGAGUGCUAGGUGUGGGGGGUUUCGACACCCUCUGUGCCGCAGUAAACGCAAUAAGCACUCCGCCUGGGGAGUACGGUCGCAAGACUAAA